RNAcentral lists this ribosomal RNA (27 nucleotides) under Nakaseomyces glabratus. RNAcentral's name for it is "[Candida] glabrata partial 18S ribosomal RNA". The record is from RNAcentral. Lineage: Eukaryota; Fungi; Ascomycota; Saccharomycetes; Saccharomycetales; Saccharomycetaceae.
CGUAGUGAACCUGCGGAAGGAUCAUUA